AACGAACGCUGGCGGCAUGCCUAACACAUGCAAGUCGAACGAGACCUUCAGGUCUAGUGGCGCACGGGUGCGUAACGCGUGGGAAUCUGCCCCUCGGUUCGGAAUAACAGUUAGAAAUGACUGCUAAUACCGGAUGAUGACUUCGGUCCAAAGAUUUAUCGCCGAGGGAUGAGCCCGCGUAAGAUUAGGUAGUUGGUGGGGUAAAGGCCUACCAAGCCGACGAUCUUUAGCUGGUCUGAGAGGAUGAUCAGCCACACUGGGACUGAGACACGGCCCAGACUCCUACGGGAGGCAGCAGUGGGGAAUAUUGGACAAUGGGCGAAAGCCUGAUCCAGCAAUGCCGCGUGAGUGAUGAAGGCCUUAGGGUUGUAAAGCUCUUUUACCAGGGAUGAUAAUGACAGUACCUGGAGAAUAAGCUCCGGCUAACUCCGUG
RNAcentral lists this ribosomal RNA (433 nucleotides) under uncultured bacterium. Its description in RNAcentral is "bacterial SSU rRNA". It matches the Rfam family "Bacterial small subunit ribosomal RNA", at positions 29 to 507 of the family's 1533-position model. The record is from RNAcentral.